CGACACCGGAGAGGGAGCCUGAGAAACGGCUACCACAUCCAAGGAAGGCAGCAGGCGCGCAAAUUACCCAAUCCCGACAUGGGGAGGUAGUGACAAUAAAUAACAAUACAGGGUUCUUUUGGAUCUUGUAAUUGGAAUGAGUACAAUUUAAAUCUCUUAACGAGGAACAAUUGGAGGGCAAGUCUGGUGCCAGCAGCCGCGGUAAUUCCAGCUCCAAUAGCGUAUAUUAAAGUUGUUGCAGUUAAAAAGCUCGUAGUUGAAUUUCAGGAUCAAGGAAUCGGUCAUGCCUUGGUAUGUACUGGUUUUAUUGGUUCUCACCUUCUAAAGAACCAUAAUGUCAUUCAUUUGAUGUUAUGGGGAAUUAGGACUGUUACCUUGAAAAAAUUAGAGUGUUUAAAGCAGGCUUACGCUUGAAUACAUUAGCAUGGAAUAAUGAAAUAGGACAUCAGAUUCUAUUUUGUUGGUUUCUAGGAUCGAUGUAAUGAUUAAUAGGGAUAGUUGGGGGCAUUAGUAUUCAAUUGUCAGAGGUGAAAUUCUUGGAUUUAUUGAAGACUAACUACUGCGAAAGCAUUUGCCAAGGAUGUUUUCAUUAAUCAAGAACGAAAGUUAGGGGAUCGAAGACGAUCAGAUACCGUCGUAGUCUUAACCAUAAACUAUGCCGACUAGGGAUCGGAUGAUGUUAAUUUUUUAAUGAC
This 695-nucleotide ribosomal RNA is filed under the name Septoglomus constrictum. RNAcentral's name for it is "SSU rRNA". It matches the Rfam family "Eukaryotic small subunit ribosomal RNA", at positions 378 to 1075 of the family's 1831-position model. Lineage: Eukaryota; Fungi; Glomeromycota; Glomeromycetes; Glomerales; Glomeraceae. The record is from RNAcentral.